This is a non-coding RNA of Acanthosepion pharaonis, 105 nucleotides long. Lineage: Eukaryota; Metazoa; Mollusca; Cephalopoda; Sepiida; Sepiidae. The record is from the annotation of a GenBank genome assembly.
UAUGGCCAUAUUACAUUGAAACAUUGGUUCUCGUAUGAUCACCAAAAUUAAGCAACCUUGAGCCGGGUCAGUACCUAGAUGGGUGACCACGUAAGAAUACCAGGU